UACAGGGCGAGAGAAGCGGUGGUAGCGGAGGCUGUAGUGGGGCUGGUGGUGCUUCCAACUGCGGGACAGGGAGUGGCCGUAGCGGCUUGUUGGAUAAGUGGAAGAUAGAUGAUAAGCCUGUAAAAAUUGACAAGUGGGAUGGAUCAGCUGUGAAAAACUCUUUGGAUGAUUCUGCCAAAAAGGAAAGAUCCUACAGGAAUGGAUCCUGAUGAUAUUUGGCAGCUGUCCUCCAGUCUUAAAGGGUUUGAUGACAAAUACACCUUGAAGCUGACCUUCAUCAGUGGGAGAACAAAGCAGCAGCGGGAAGCCGAG
RNAcentral lists this long non-coding RNA (312 nucleotides) under Homo sapiens (human). Its description in RNAcentral is "non-protein coding lnc-EYA3-2:1". Lineage: Eukaryota; Metazoa; Chordata; Mammalia; Primates; Hominidae. The record is from RNAcentral.